This 477-nucleotide unclassified non-coding RNA is filed under the name Hevea brasiliensis (rubber tree). Lineage: Eukaryota; Viridiplantae; Streptophyta; Magnoliopsida; Malpighiales; Euphorbiaceae. The record is from RNAcentral.
CGACGACACCCAUUUUCUGGUCAGGUAAGCAAAGGCCGUCAAAGGAAGCUGAAAACUUCUUCUUCUUCUUUUUUGUUUGCCUUUCCCUCUUUAUCUGUCGUCGACUACUUCUUCUCUUGCCUCUUUCUUCUUUCUAUUGGGCUUUUCUCAAUCUGCAUUGCUGUUGUCAAAGAAGUUGUUAUUUUAGGUCUUAAAGGGCACCCAAUUCUUUAAAGUUUUUCUUCCACCCCAAACAUAUUGAGUUUUUGUCUUUGAGAAUAAUUCAUGAGCCAAACAUCAACCUCUUGUUAUUUUUAUGGGUGCUCAGAAGUUUUGUAGUUUUGAGAUCUGAAAUUUUGUUGGCUUUGAUCUUUUGUAAAUGAGCAUUUUAUUUCGUGCUUAUUUUUAUGUAGCUAUGAAGCUUAUUUUUUAUUGCCAACAGCAAUUAGUGAUGCUCUCUCUCUUCCCCCCCCUAGUGGCAAUGGAUUUUUGUAGGAA